GGGGAAUAUUGCACAAUGGGCGAAAGCCUGAUGCAGCAAUGCCGCGUGUGUGAAGAAGGCCUGCGGGUUGUAAAGCACUUUCGGUAGGGAAGAUUAUGACGGUACCUACAGAAGAAGCACCGGCUAACUCCGUGCCAGCAGCCGCGGUAAUACGGAGGGUGCAAGCGUUAAUCGGAAUUACUGGGCGUAAAGCGCGCGUAGGCGGCUUUGUAAGUCGGAUGUGAAAGCCCCGGGCUUAACCUGGGAAUUGCAUUCGAUACUGCAUAGCUAGAGUAUGGUAGAGGGUAGCGGAAUUCCGGGUGUAGCGGUGAAAUGCGUAGAUAUCCGGAGGAACACCAGUGGCGAAGGCGGCUACCUGGACCAAUACUGACGCUGAGGUGCGAAAGCGUGGGGAGCAAAC
RNAcentral lists this ribosomal RNA (400 nucleotides) under uncultured bacterium. RNAcentral describes it as "bacterial SSU rRNA". It matches the Rfam family "Bacterial small subunit ribosomal RNA", at positions 356 to 773 of the family's 1533-position model. The record is from RNAcentral.